AAAAUAUACCAAUAGCCCAAUGACAUAAUCUCCCAACUCGUCCCACCUUCUUUUCUCAAAAGAAAUCAAGCCGCAAGUUAAUGAAACGCGACAAGGUCAACAACAAUUCUAAACAACCUGGUAUGCACCCCCAUCUUCCCCAACGCGUAAACAACGCCCAACAACAAUCACAAAGAAUGAUUCCAAUCUUGAACAUGUGAAAUUGUCCUCGCACUUUUGUAUGGAUCCAUGUAGCCUUCAAGGACGAUCGAUCUAUCAAACUUCUUCUAGAAUGGAGCUAAACUUUCAGAAAAGGUUGUUUCUCUCAAAUGGUGAAUGACUUUUGAGAUUUGAUUUUAGGGUGGGACUCGUUCUUAUCGAUUUUUUUCCUUUUACCCCAAUUCCGAACCCUAAUAUCUUCCCAUAUUUACCUCCUCUUUUCACUUUAAGCAGGGGGAUUUCUUUGGGAGAAAACAAUUUUUUUGUGAUAGAGACAUAGAGAGUUGAAAAUAGCAAAAAUGAGGGGGAUGUUUGGAUGAUUUUUUUGUAAAAAAAGAGUUUCAAUUAGAUGAGACAUUAGAGAAAGAUUUGGAUAUUAUCUCAGUGUUUAGAGGAAACUGUACGUUUGAAAAGUUCUCGAAGAUAUUUGGUUCACUCUUAGCAUUUGUCCGCUUUGUUUUGUCCUUCCAAGUUUGUUGGGAUUCGUCGUUUCGGUGCACAAGUCGUUAAUAGCUCGUUGCUUUUAGUUAGAUGCCAGAAAAGUGCUCAAAGUGUAGAAAGGCACUGACCAUUUGGAGAAUUAAGGUGUUGUAUUUUAAAUGCUCAAUUUCCUCAAUUGAUUAAGUUGUUGCAAGAUAGAUUGCUAAUCUUUCUUUUCUUUUUCUUUGUUUUUCUUAUGUGAUACCAAUCCGAGUAACAUGGACUCCACUCUUGCAUAUCAUUGAGUCUUAUCAAGUCAAGCUUUAGUAUUCGGGGGAGAAAGAGAGGCUAAUGCAAGACUCCAAAGGCUCAGAAAGGGAUCUAUAUACCGUUUUAUACAUUGAUAUAUAGUCAGAAAAUAUGAUAUGCAAGUCCAAGAAAUAUACAGGGGAUCGAGGAGCUAAAUUAGGAUGUAUAAAAAGAGUAUACAAUCCAAUAUAAAGGGAAAAAACUAAAAUACACCCCAUAUAAGGAAGUAUAAGAUCAUUGUAUAUGCUAGAUUUUUGAAGGAAAACAGGCCCAAAGGCCUAAAAAUUUACAGCAGCAAAAUUUAGGCAAAAAGCCCAAAUUUAAUAUUUCCUUUCCUUCUUAUUUAUUUAUCAUUAUAUUUAACUAAAAAUAUAAAUGACCUUGGUUUUAUUUAAAGAUGAUAGUCAUUUCUCUUAUUUUUCUA
Solanum lycopersicum (tomato) is the source of this 1351-nucleotide long non-coding RNA. RefSeq lists it as uncharacterized. Lineage: Eukaryota; Viridiplantae; Streptophyta; Magnoliopsida; Solanales; Solanaceae. The record is from RefSeq and is a predicted model, not a curated record.